This is a long non-coding RNA of Syngnathus typhle (broad-nosed pipefish), 4017 nucleotides long. RefSeq lists it as uncharacterized. The transcript has 4 exons. Lineage: Eukaryota; Metazoa; Chordata; Actinopteri; Syngnathiformes; Syngnathidae. The record is from RefSeq and is a predicted model, not a curated record.
AUAUGCUACAAAGCAAAAAAAAGUGAGACAUGACAUUUGGAUAGCGUGAGCACUAAGGAGGUGCACUGACCUGUACGCGAGCGACCCAGACGGGCUGGAGAAAGACCUCAUACCUGCAAAGAAAACAAGCAGGUCAAAAAAAAGCCACUGCUCCAUCAAAGGGUAUCUGCUCUACCAAAACAAAAGUAGUAGGGAAGGCGGUGGUGAUCCAAAAAAAAAUCAAGAAAUGAGGGAGAAAAGCAAACCAAAGUGUGCUGGAGCCCAGUGAACAGAUUAAGCGAGAUACAUUUGGCUGCACUUUCCCUCAAUCACGACACAGACCUGCCACUCAAUGCCAUCAACUCUUGCCAGUUCGUCAUGACAACCUCUCCCCUUCCACAACAGAAACAAACAGAAGGACUCGAGAGAAUCCAGACGGACUGAAAAGUCCACUGCACGCUUGUCUGCAAUAUAUCGCUGUACAAUAUAUGCAACUGUUUGCUCAGCAGGAAUAGAGUCGCCAAAAACAAUUAAGCGCCACAAAUAUUUCUCCCGCCUGGUCAACGAGUCUGGGCUCCAAAAAAGCAGGGCGGGAAAUUAAAUAAUCCAUGUCCUGCGGUCCCCGGAGCAUCUGCGUUCAAUGCUUGUCAGCCAAAUGACUGAAUUUCGAAGCCCUUUGUCAUGAAUUGUUCAAAAAUGUCUGCUGUCAUUCCAAAUCAAAAAACUUUGGCAAGUUGAGCUCCAUGAAAGAUGUCUUAACUUUCAGGAGAAUUUUAUCAAACUAGUCAGCAUAAAGCAUGAGGUGCUUUUUUUGGGGGGGGGCUGCAAUUCAUAAUUCAUUUUCCCAUGUAUAUUUUAGCUCUCCUGCCUCAGCCAACCUCAUCUGGACGCUGGUGCAUUUUGGUGCUCGUGGACUUCCUUAUAAAAGUCCAAUGUCAACUGGAGAAGAGGAUGUUCACAUGCCACUCACCAUCAAUGUCCCUGUGGCUGAUGGCGAGCAUGGACACGGACUUGGUGAGGGGCAGCGUCAUCGGAGGGCAGCUGUUCCUCAAGGGACGAUAGCGCCUCGACUUCUGUGGCGGCGGGAGAGUCGAGGGUGAGACGAGUCAAACGACAGAACCAGAGCGCCUGGGUGAGAGCCCACCUGUUUUUCUAGCCCGCACGGCGGCCCCGCUUCUUCCUGCUCCUCGGUGAGCGACACGAGUGAGCCACGCUCGUCAGCGUCGUGCUGAAGCAUUCUGGAAGGUUCUAGAAUGCGGGCGCCCUGACUGGCCGGGCCCCGGGCCUCGUCUUGGCUGCCACUCAGGCCCUCCAGGCUGUAGCUGUGCCGACACAGAGAAACAACAUUACGGCUUGCGGUCAUGUCAAAGUAAUCGGUUGGUUUACAGUUUUACUAGUUGUUUUUGCUUGCACGACUUGGCCAAAACAAGACAACUGUUUACGGAGUCAAACUGUUUUUAUAGCCGCAUAUUGUAAUAAAACAUAAAGAGUAAACAUAAAAGUCAAAUCGGUGUAAUACACACAGGAUGAAUUCAUUUGAAAAACAUCGGCAUAAAUGAAUAUUCAAAAAUAAACACAAAUCAACGAAAAAUAUAUAUAUACCAUAAAUAUCAAUGGGAAAAAAAAGUCAAGUGGCAUGCUUUAUAAUUAAAACGGUGAAAAUGAUUUCGUUCCAAGUAUUAAAUACAUCUUUAAAUAAAAUACAAAAAAUUAAAAAUGAAGAAAAAAAAAAAAAAGAUGCAAAUUAAAUAUUUAAUUCCGGGUUUUGUGUUUUAAGUAUGACAUAUCUACCACCAACAUUUCAUAAUCUACAUUCUUCAAAGUAGGCACCAGCUAUCCGACGGCUUUAUGAUGUGACGCUUUAUGACCUGAGAUGACUUUCAGGUCACGGCUCUGCAAUAUCGACACAAAUUGAAAGAAACAAUGGCCAAGUACGCCACCAUGUGCACUAACUGAAACGGCGACCAUUGCCGAUGUCGUUGGACAGGACUCGGAAUGAAAUUUGAAUUGAGGCCAUGACUUUAAUCGGCUAAAGAUGACAGAUUAUUUGAACGGGAUUCACAACAAAGGCGGCUGAAUAAGGAAAUCCCGAUGCGGCAAUCACAGGCAGGCGAAAACCAGCGGCUACAUUUCGGGAUGAGCUAGCCCGGCCGGCUGCAGCGCUGAUAAAUCUCCCUUAUCUCCGCCGCAGCCCUGAGGUUUUGCAUGGCACCCCAUUAUCCAGCAAAUCAUCGGCCCGUCACAUCGGAACAUAAUUAACCUCAAGUGGACCAAAAGCGCCCGUGACUUGGCUGAUUGUCGGAGUGCAGAUAAGCACUCACCUAUCCUCGGGGAGUCGGCCGCAAACGUAUCCGUCACGCCGAGGCCCGCUUCAUGACAUUAUUAUCGCGCGGCGCUUUGCGGAGCCCCGAGGUCGUCUGCCAACAUGAAUCAGAGCGGCAGCUGCUAACAUGGCCCGCUGACUGACUGAUGGGACGGGAUGAGCGAUGAGACAGGCCAGGCAAAUCCAGGCGUGGGGCGGCCGAUUUUGACGCGUGGAAAGAAUCUCUUUCCCUUUCAGAUAUUCAAAUCCAACCAUUUUCACUUGUUUACCUAAUUGUUUGAACGACGGACGAUUUUUUUUUCCUUUCCGCGUGUUCCCGACGUCGUCGCCACAGCAUGUUUGGAUAUUAAAAGCAAACACCACCGAUCACGAGGACAUCGAUUCGGUCUCAUGUGCGUCCGUUUAGGGAAUUGUAAAACGCUAGUCUCAGACCACAAGAUCUUCUCAUUAUUCCUUGUGUGUGUGUGUGUGUGUGUCAUAUUUUCUUUAAGCAACACGAGAGCUACUAAAACACUCAUGUGGUCCUUGUGCAUUCCGAGCAGCAAGAAGCACACACCACACCCACAACCGCUGCCUCUGGGGAAAGAACAACAAUGCAGCGGUUGUUUGUCUCCCUUUGCAGCUGGGAGGUGACGAAUCAGACAAAGAUAGGAAGUGAAAGAUAAUUCUCCCGCCGACUCGGGGUGGUGUUUACCUCCUCUGGUUCAUGGCAGGGCCUCCUCCGUUGUUCUUCCCGGGUCCCCAACUGUGUCGGCGAAGAGGCGAGAGGGAGCGCAGGCUGCUGCGCAGGAGACAGGAGCGCCGCGGCACCUCGCUCACUCUGUCCUUGGCCUCCUCCUCGGCGUCGCCGGCGACACUUCCGUCGGCGGCGGCGGCGGGCACGGGGGCCCCCGGGUGGACGCUGCCCUCGGGGCUCCAGCCGCUGCUACCCAGGCCCUGGCUGCCGUCCGGGCUGGAGCUGGACGGCCCCACGCUGGCCGUGUCGUCCGUGGAGGAGCAGGAGAUGGACACCUCGCUGGUGCUGUCACCGCCCGUCACUCGCUCGUCAUUCUGGCACAAUUGAGGGCAAAAAGAUUCUGGUGCAGCGGGUCAAACCUUGUUGAAGACGCUGUCGUAUCCCACCUCGGCGCUCAGCAAGCUCUCGGCAUCGCUCCCCGAGUCUCUGUGAGUGGUCGAGGAGCAACUGUUGCUGCUGACCGUCCUGCUGGACAAAGCAGGCAAUGUUGCCGACCGGGAAGACCCUGAAAAGACACCGCGCAAUGGUCAAAAUUGAACAGCUUGGAGAUAAGCAAGUUUCUGAGAGCAAUUCAUCUCACUUCCCACUGUGAACACAAUAAGCGAGGCUGUUGGGCAAGAAGGUGAAAUGAGCUCUUGAAAUUUGAGAAGGUGUGAAAAGACAAAUUGGCUCAAUGGCUGACUGUCUUUGACAGGACAAAAAAGAAAAUAGCUCUCUGGUGUGAAGCGUGAAGGCAAACAACUACCGGUUGUGUGUUUUGAGACCCUUUUCGCACUGCUUUGCAUUUUUUCCAUGCGGCAAGUCAAUUCCCCCACUUUGGAGGUAUUAUCAGAGGCCAUGAGGAUGGAUAGUUACGUCAUCCUGAACCCGAAUUGAACCGAGGUGUCACACUGACAAAGUCAGCUUUUUCCUCUUGUUGCCACCUGACGAGUAUUUUGUGCUGCCACGUCUUAUGGAAAAUAAAGACACUUUUUGUAGA